This 426-nucleotide ribosomal RNA is filed under the name uncultured bacterium. RNAcentral describes it as "bacterial SSU rRNA". It matches the Rfam family "Bacterial small subunit ribosomal RNA", at positions 359 to 776 of the family's 1533-position model. The record is from RNAcentral.
GAAUUUUGCGCAAUGGGCGAAAGCCUGACGCAGCAACGCCGCGUGAGUGAUGAAGGCCUUCGGGUCGUAAAGCUCUGUCAGAGGGGAAGAAACUCCUGAAGGAUAAUACCCUUUGGGCCUGACGGUACCCUCAAAGGAAGCACCGGCUAACUCCGUGCCAGCAGCCGCGGUAAUACGGAGGGUGCAAGCGUUGUUCGGAAUUAUUGGGUGUAAAGCGCGCGCAGGCGGUCUGUUAAGUCUGAUGUGAAAGCCCUGGGCUCAACCCGGGAAGUGCAUUGGAAACUGGCAGACUUGAGUACGGGAGAGGGAAGUGGAAUUCCGAGUGUAGGGGUGAAAUCCGUAGAUAUUCGGAGGAACACCGGUGGCGAAGGCGGCUUCCUGGACCGAUACUGACGCUGAGGCGCGAAAGCGUGGGGAGCAAACAGG